GAUGGGACUUAAUUCCAACAGUAACCUGCCAAAGCCGGAUCUAAGGCAGUACAACCUGUUUGGGUGCACCAGGCACAGUGAUUCUGGGAUGCCGCAGCAGGAACUGCAACCAUGAAGUCCAACAGAAGGCAAGAGGGCUGCCAGAUUUUGGCGUUGCACAGGGUGCCGCUGGAGUUGGUGAUGCCAAGGUUCGCCACUGAACCUGGGACAGGUAAAUGGAACAGAUUGUGAAUGUACACAACUGCGGUCACUUUAAAUCUAAAUAAGAAAUGAAUUAGGUACAUGGGGUUAUUCAAAAGAAUUAAUGUUUGAAAAAUGCAUUUAUACCCAGCAUUUCUGUUUUACAAUCCACCAGGAGAGAAGGGCUGUAGCUCAGUAACAGAGCAGAGGCUUUAUUUAUACAAGGUCCUGGGAUCAAUCCCUGGCUGAUAUGGCAGCUGCUCUUACUAAAUUCCUGCCUGAAACCCUGGAGAGAUGCUGCUGGCAGUCUCUUAAAAACAGUGGCAUAGCGUGGGUUGUCAGCACCCGGGGCAAGGCAAGUAAUUUGCGCCCCCUAACCCGUGGAUUUGCGCCCCCUAACCCUAACCCCCAGAUGUUGCGCCCGGUGCGGCUGGCCCCCCCUGCACCCCCCACGCUACGCCACUGCUUAAAAAAGCUCCACCCCAGGAGCCGGCAGGGGUUGCUACGCUGCUGUCUCACAGGGUUGUUGUGAAGAUAAAACAGGGAUGGGGAGAACGGCAUAUGCUGCCUUAUGCUCCUUGGUGGAGAGUUGGGAUAUAAAUGUGAUGAAUGAUUAUGACGGGAUGAUGUUGAGACUGUGGCAGUUUGCUGAAUAAAUAGAAGAGCUAAGAUACGGUUCACAACAAUUAGCCAUUAUGUUAUUCUAGCACUCUGGUUUUAUUUUAUUUUUUAAGUGUUAGCGUGCGUGUGUGUGUGUGUGCGUGCUCACACACACGUGUGUGCUUUAAAGAGUGAAAAACCACUGAAAUGCUUGAAAUGACAUUAAUGGAAAAAUAUAGCCACUUCUGUUAUGUAAUUUGAUGUUUAAUUGUUAUGUUAUUUACAUGUAUUGAAUUGUUAUAAUAUAAAAUAGAUAGAGAAAAACAUACCCAAACUUCAAAAUUCCUUCUGCCACCUACAAUUACAGGUAAGUACGCAUCUUCCUUUCUAUUGCUUCCUGAUUAACAGCUGGUAAACUGUGGGCCAGACUCCAGAAAAAUUGAAUAGAAAGUGAGAGAGGAGGAGGAGAACCGGUUAGAUUUCUAAGAGUUUACCAGAGAACAGAAAGUACUAUUGCAUCAAAGCCAGCUUGGCUAGCAGACAGAGGCAAGCAACCCACAGUGUGCUUUCAGGAGUUUGGAACAUUUCCCAGCUGGGAUCCCAGGCUUAGGAAGAGUUUAGCAGCUGGCAGGAAUUGGAUGAUUCUAUUGGCAGCCAAUCCAGAAACCUGGCACUGAUAGAGGCUGUGCAAAAGCCCAGAUCAGGUAGGGGAUUUAGUUUCAUGGAGCUUUAAGAAAUGCUAUCGCCUCAAUGAGCUAUUUCUUUUCAUCCCAACAUAACCAACCGCCCCAUUUGUCAAUCAACAGACAGCACUUUAUUGACUAUACCAUCAUAAUAAAUACCUUCUACAGUGGGACCUCGCAAGACAAAUGCCUCUCAAGACGAAAAACUCGCAAGACGAAAGAGUUUUUCGUUUUUUGAGUUGCUUCGUGAGACGACUUUCCCUAUGGGCUUGCUUCGCAAGACGGAAACGUCUUGCAAGUUUGUUUCCUUUUUCUUAAAACCAUUACAGUAAUACAGGGUGCAUUGCUUGAAGAGGUGCAGUUGCGACUUGACUUCGGGAAGCAACUCGUAGCACGCGGUGUGGUAGCCUUUUUUGAGGUUUUUGAAUAUUUUUUUGAAAAAAUUGAAACCGUGCUUCGCAAGACGAAAAAACUCGCAAGACGAAAAAACUCGCAGAACGAAUUAAUUUCGUCUUGCGAGGCACCACUGUAUACACUGUUCUUGCUCCACAGUUGUGGUACUCCCUUCCUUUCAAAAGGACUGCCCAAGUAAAAAACAACAACGGGGGGGGGGGGGGCAUACAAUUUACUUUCCAGACUGGCAUUCAGAAGUCUAAAGUCAGGGAGGCUGAGCAUAAAAAAAAGUAUAACCAGGUGUUUAUAGGAUACAAUGCGUGUGUUUUACCUGUUAUUAAAAAAGCCCUGGGGAAUGGGCCACCUAGAAAUUUAAUUAAGUAAUUUAUUAGCUUCUUAUGCAUAGAGAUUGACUGGGAAGAUCCACUGAGGAUGUUGUGCUGGAAACAAUGGUAGCUGGUGCAUGUUAGAAUCAAGAGGGCAGAAGGCAGGCAACCCAAAUGGUAGGUGGAGCCAGAGCCAAUGAAAGACAGAGUCAACUAUGCGCACCUUGAAAAUAUCACUUACAGUUUAUGGAGGUCAAAGGCUUUAUUCAUGCAGGAACUAUUUACUGUAUAAGUGACAGACCAGGCCCACUGGUGAGGCAAGGUGAGGUGCCCGCCUUGAGCAGAGGAAGCAAGGUGAGGUGCCUGCCUCUGCCACCCACCCCACUGCCUCUACUGCUAGUAGUGGCACCAGUUUCUGAAGAGAUCUUUCAAUAUCUAGCUGGAAGCCAGUGCCACUGCUAGUGUUUCACAACUGUUUCUGCGUAGCACAGUUAAGACAGGUAAGGUGGCAGGGUGGCAGUGAAGGGUGAUGAUAGCGGAGGGCGCCAGCAUGUUCCUGUUUCACUUAAAGUGGUGAAACAGAAUGUGCCGCCACUGCUAAGUGAAGACAACAAGAAGAAAAUAGUAGACAUGUCUCAACAAGUUGGGAGAGAACAAUACACAAAAUGGCUCAGCCUUUUAGGGGUGGAGUUAACAUAGAGGGGCUACAAGCAAGUGUUGGAUAAUAUCCAGGACAGCCAUCAUAAACAAUAUGGCUGUAAAAGUCUAGGAUCCAAUCUUAGGCCUUGCCUGAGGCAAGAGCCUGUUCUGCUACUGUGAUGACCAUUCUCAAUGCCUCCAUUUAUUCUCUGUUCACACAAGGUGUGAAGUAUCUAGAUUGGGAGCCUCAAUAUUAAAUAAUUCCUGCUGUGUGGUUUCUUCUAAGCAGACUGUCCAAAGGGUUGCCAUGGUGUUCUCCUCUCUGAAAUGAACAUUUAAAUCCAAGGAAGAGGAGAGAAAGAUGAAGCUAUUUGCAAUUAAGAAUUAGCAUCAGCCAAAUGACCUCUAAAUUUGAUCCCUUUCCAUGGAACAACAAUACCAUAAAAAGGAAAACUGCAAAUCAAGGUGGGGUGGGGGUAGUGUUUAACAUUUCAGUGCCUCUCUGGCUACUGAAUUGCAAAACACCAACUUAACUUUGCAGUAUGUUUAGAGGAGGGAAUGUUUUGGGAACGCUUUAUUCCCACUCCAUAUCCAUUUGCUGCUCUCUCUGCCAAGGAUUAUCAUUGACAAUGACAACAAUGGUGAGAAUCACCUCGGAUAAUUUAGCUUACUUCUUAGCUGCAAGGGCCAGGAAGAUUUGAUCCUUUAACCCCUAACUGUCAUAAUUGGCAGCAAUGAAAAGGACGAGAAAAUUACAAAUGUAGUUGGGUGUAUGUGCAAAACUAUGCACAUUGAGGCAAAAAUAUAAAUGACGUCUAUGACAAUGGGGCUCUGAGCAGGCAGGUUCCCACUGAGCACAAAAGGGAUUGUGGGGUCAGGGUAGGCAGGUCAAUAAAAGUGUUGAGCCAGUGUGAGGCAGCUGUGGAAAAAGGCAAAUUCCAUGCCAGGGAUCAUUAGGAAAGGGAUGAAAAACGCAGCUGCCAAUGUUGCAAUGCCAUGACUAAUGCAAUCACACUUGAAAUACUAUGUACAGUUCUGGUCGCUGCACCUCAAAGAGGAUAUUUCAGAACUGGGAAAGGUAGAAAAGGGUAUAUAAAAUGGCUGAAGGUCUGAAGCAAAUCUCCUAUGGCGAAACAGGGUGGAGAUAAAAUCACAAGGAAGCUGAUUGUAAGGAUUAGACAAUAAUGUGUGAAUUGCUUUGAACAGUCUGGUAUGCCUUAUAUCUUCUACGCGGGAGUAUUGGUUUUGUUUGUUAUUGUGUUCUGUAUUUUUGUGUUUAAUAUUCUAAACUGCCCUGUGAUCCUUGGGUGAAGGAUGGUAUAGAAAUGUAAUAAAUAAGCAUAACACAACUUGUGCAAGGAAGCCGGUAAAACGUGGGUUGAACAAGGUAACUACUAGGUGGAUUUGUAGCCGGUUGACUGACUGAACCCAAAGAAUGCAUAGCUGUCAAGCGUCCCUUAUUUGGUGGGAAAGUCCCUUAUCCCAGCGACGUGUCCCGCUGCUGUCCCUUAUUGAUGAUGUCCCUUAAAUUUCCCGGGUUUCAAAGGAAGCAGCUCCUCUCCCUCCCUCCCUGCCGGCCAGGGAGGAGGGAGGCUCCAACUGUGUUGUUUGGCUGCGUUGCUCACCCAAUAAAGAGUCUAAGAACGACUGGGGGGUGGAGCUUGCAUGCCUUGUGCCAAUCAAAUUGGCCGCGUUGGCUGGGGACUCACCUUUGCUCAGCGCUUCCCAGCGGAGAGGUGACGGUGGUUUUCCUUGCUGUAUCCCUUUGCCGGGUUGCUGCGCUGUGGGAACCACCGCUUGAGGCUUCGUUUGGCUUCUGGCUGGGCUUUCUGCCUUUGACUCGGAGGGGCUCAGAAGUCGAACAUACCUGCGCUCUGAAAAUCCCUUAUUUUGGCUGCUGAUCCCUUAUUUCCAAGGCUGCUGGUCCCUUAUUUUUAAAUCUAUAAGUUGACAGCUAUGCAAAGAGUGCCUGUCUUUAUCCUGCUCUUCCCCUACUUGCAAUGCCGCGUCUUUCCUCCCUGCUGUCCAGAGCCUUGAUCUGGGGGGCCACCAGCUGAUCCAUGAGGGGCAUCUUCGCUUGCACACCACCCAGAGGAAGACUGUGGGUCAGUGACUGGCCAAAGCUAGCCCUCUUGGUGGGGAGGGGGAUGCGCUUCCUUUGAACAGGAAUCAAAGAGGGGAGGGGCUGUGGCUUAAUGGAGAGUUGGCGAGAGGGAGCUGGGUGCACCAAGGGAAGGGUAGCCAGGAAACACCACCAUCUCUCUCUUAGGCCUGCGUGUGCUGCUCUUCAUGGACCUGGUGGUUCUUCUGGAAUGCCACAGGGAGGGGGCACAGAGACCCUCCUUCAGCCCCAUCCUCCCUCUGAAUGAGGUCCUCCUCUGUCCCACGGCCACAGGUAAGUAGGGAAGCCACACAACCAUGUUCCUCCUCACUUAAAGAUGCAAAGCUGCACAGGCCAGCCCUGCUGUGUGGAUGUUUUUUCCAUCUUGUCUCUCUUCUCUGCAUUGCUGUACCUGGGCCCACACUCCUGGUAUGUGUGUGUAUCAUUCUUAACUACCUGCCCUUCACUCACAGGUCCCAGGCACGGGCAGAGAAAGGGAGGUGCGGGGGGCGCGGUCUGCUCCAGGUGCCAUCCUGGGGGGGGGGACAUCGCCGCAGCCCCCCAUGCACACUGCGCCCCCCAUAUGCUCAUCGCAGGCAGCAGGAGGCUAGCAGCACCCCAACACUCACCACACGGGCGGCGGGCAGCUAGGGAACUCCGGUCCACUCUGGGUGCUGGAGCAGGUAGCUCCGCCUCUGCUCCCAGGUUGGGUUACAGCAAUUAAAUUAGUUUAAAACAACCUACUAGCACAGAAACGGGAUGCAUAGUUUAUGAAACACCUUAAGGGUCAACAGCCCAGGUAAAGACAUAGCUACCCACAAUAGCUCAGAGUUGUGUUGGAACCCCCUGGAGAAAGAUGCUGCCGGAGAGCCACUCAGCUCUUCUCCUUUAGAAAGUCUCUCUGUCUCUCUCUCUUCCCCUCCCUUUUCCUGGCAAGUGGCUGGAGGAUCUGGAGGGGGUCACAAAGAACACCUGCAGGCAGCCCCCCCCAAGGCCCAACUGCACCUUCCAGGUGAGGGAGACCUCCACCCCUGAUGUUUCCUUCUGAACUCACCACACACUCCACCAAUGGACAUAUUUGCUCCUCUUUUUUAGGAUGCUGGUGCUGGUCCAACAUCAUGCUGUUUCCAUUCCCGUGACUCCAAGGAGAAGGCGCUAGAGUGGGGCUCCUGGCGAGUUGUUGGAGGUGGCCGGGUGGGUGAUGAUGGUGGCAGCCUCAGUGGUCAAAGUUUGAGGGUGGCAAGGCAUGAUGGAAGUAUCCUGCCCUCCUCCCCCUCCUCCUAAGAUCUGGGAGGGGUCAAAGCCCCCUGCCCCCCAUUGGCUUCUUCCUCUUUUGGACCUUGGUGGAAUGGCGGCUUCCUUUAAGUUGCUUCCUUUCUCCCCUCCCCAGACAGUAAAAUGGUACCCCACCUCUGCCAUGCCUGAAAUUAAACUGCUGGUGGGAGGAGGACAAGAAUGACAGUGAGGAGGAUGAAGAGCAUGAAGAUGACAAGGAGGAGAACCAGGAGGAGGAGGCAGAGGUCUUGGUCAGGCAACUGCUGCAGGAUGGAGGCUUAUUUUCUGUGCCUGCCUUUGCCAGGGUGAGGGGGGCUCUAUGCAACUGCCCUCAUAUCCAGACAAAAGAGGGAACUGCUGCUGCCACUGCCCACUUUCCUCUCUCCCCCAGAACCUUCUUGUUGUUAUUUUUUACAACAAUGAAUACCGCAAUAAAUAUUAAACAGUAGUAUAUGUAUCCAGUAGUAUACAUAUAUAUAGUAGUAUAUGUUUGUUCUGUCCAUUGAGCUAUGCCCUUCCCCAUGUUAUAAAAAUUAUAAGGUGUCAUAAAUAAAAUGAAUGUUCAUAAAGAAUACUUAAAG
Molecule: long non-coding RNA, 6778 nt
Filed under: Podarcis lilfordi (Lilford's wall lizard)
Lineage: Eukaryota; Metazoa; Chordata; Lepidosauria; Squamata; Lacertidae
Source: RNAcentral